Molecule: ribosomal RNA, 301 nt
Filed under: uncultured bacterium
Lineage: Bacteria
Description: partial 16S ribosomal RNA
Rfam family: Bacterial small subunit ribosomal RNA
Source: RNAcentral
CAGCAGCCGCGGGAAAACGUAGGUGGCAAGCGUUGUCCGGAAUUAUUGGGCGUAAAGGGCUCGCAGGCGGUUUCUUAAGUCUGAUGUGAAAGCCCCCGGCUCAACCGGGGAGGGUCAUUGGAAACUGGGAAACUUGAGUGCAGAAGAGGAGAGUGGAAUUCCACGUGUAGCGGUGAAAUGCGUAGAGAUGUGGAGGAACACCAGUGGCGAAGGCGACUCUCUGGUCUGUAACUGACGCUGAGGAGCGAAAGCGUGGGGAGCGAACAGGAUUAGAUACCCCCGUAGUCCCUGUCUCUUAUAC